GUAAUCCACAACUUGGCCAACACCCAUUGCCAUGGAAGCCACUUCGUCUUGCAGAUUUUCCACACUCGGACUUGCUGUUAAUCUCCUUUUGCGCCCAAUUUCAACACCUCUUAGUUCUCUCCUUUGUGUUCUCCUCUGAGAUAAUUGGUGGAUAAAUAAUGGAUUGUUGAGAGCUUUAGCAAGAAAUAUCAUUAUCUGCUGUUGUUUUCUCUCUGUAGUUUGCAACCUAUCCUCCAUUGCAGCAAUUGUUUCUCUUGACUGCUGUUGUUGCUGCCUAAGCUUCACGAUUUCUGCCAUUAGCACAUUUCGAUCUCUUUUUAAUCUUUCUACCUCACCGUCCCAUCCAAAUUCUCCCACUUCAACACAAAGUCUUCCACUUUGCUGUUUCAUACUUUGCGAAACGUGUCUUCUCCUCUUGAUGGUUUUCAGCAGAUGCUUCUGCCCUCUCAAAAACCCUUCAUUUGCAAAUUCCCA
Molecule: unclassified non-coding RNA, 474 nt
Filed under: Hevea brasiliensis (rubber tree)
Lineage: Eukaryota; Viridiplantae; Streptophyta; Magnoliopsida; Malpighiales; Euphorbiaceae
Source: RNAcentral